This 470-nucleotide ribosomal RNA is filed under the name uncultured bacterium. RNAcentral's name for it is "partial 16S ribosomal RNA". It matches the Rfam family "Bacterial small subunit ribosomal RNA", at positions 355 to 816 of the family's 1533-position model. The record is from RNAcentral.
UGGGGAAUUUUGGACAAUGGGCGCAAGCCUGAUCCAGCCAUGCCGCGUGCGGGAAGAAGGCCUUCGGGUUGUAAACCGCUUUUGUCAGGGAAGAAAUCUUCUGAGUUAAUACCUCGGGAGGAUGACGGUACCUGAAGAAUAAGCACCGGCUAACUACGUGCCAGCAGCCGCGGUAAUACGUAGGGUGCAAGCGUUAAUCGGAAUACUGGGCGUAAAGCGUGCGCAGGCGGUUUUGUAAGACAGAGGUGAAAUCCCCGGGCUCAACCUGGGAACUGCCUUUGUGACUGCAAGGCUUGAGUGCGGCAGAGGGGGAUGGAAUUCCGCGUGUAGCAGUGAAAUGCGUAGAUAUGCGGAGGAACACCGAUGGCGAAGGCAAUCCCCUGGGCCUGCACUGACGCUCAUGCACGAAAGCGUGGGGAGCAAAACAGGAUUAGAUACCCUGGUAGUCCACGCCCUAAAACGAUGUCAAC